This 7632-nucleotide long non-coding RNA is filed under the name Arabidopsis lyrata. Its description in RNAcentral is "long non-coding RNA (ALYR_LNC003376)". The stretch from base 3871 to 4070 matches the Rfam family "MIR854 microRNA precursor family". Lineage: Eukaryota; Viridiplantae; Streptophyta; Magnoliopsida; Brassicales; Brassicaceae. The record is from RNAcentral.
AAUGGGAAUUAGUCUGGGCUAGCUUUGCUUGAGGAUUUGUUGCACGGGAGUGAAUAAGUCUGUUGUUGAACCUGUUGUCUAGGGAUAGCUUCAUUGAGAAUUGUUAACCAUCUGAAUUGAUUAUGGAGUCCACACUAUUCGAUUACCCCAUCCUUAGGAGUUUCUUAUCCAAUUGAUUUAUCUGUCUACUUACUUGCUUCUGCUUUGUUACCUGUUGUUUAAGUUUUUAACAAUUUUACUCUGUGACACUGGUUUACUCGAUCGCAGCCUCCCUUCUGGCAGUGAGCCUUGUGAUCGAGUAUAGCAGUCCAUUUCUGCAAAUUCACUGUUUUCUGCAUCAAUCACUAGAACUGUUAGAAAAACAACCAAUUCAUGCUUGGCUUGACUUAGUGCUUUCUGAUCAUAUCUCAUUUGUUUGCAUCACACCUGAUUGGAUUGACACCUAAAAUACUACAACGACAGGAUAGUGUUUUAGGAUAAUUGAAUUGGAUUGGUAUCAUAUUCGUCACCUGAAUCUUGAUGGAAGCAGUGAUGCCAUUAAUAGAAGUCCUCAAGCUGAUUCCGGACCCUCACAGAGAUGUGAGAAACAUGAUAUUGGAAAGGCUCAACAUAUAUCAAGAUUCAGGUGACGAAUAUGAUACCAAUCCAAUUCAAGCCACCGAUGAGAGGAUUAUUCAAGAAAAGUUGGAAGAUCCUGGAUCUUUCACUCUAUCAUGCUCCAUUAGGCAAUUAACUUUCAGCAAUUGUCUAUGUGAUCUAGGAGCCUCAGUCAGCCUAAUGCCACUCUCUGUGGCAAGGAAGUUAGGAUUCGUCCAGUACAAGCCUUGUGACAUUACCUUGAUUCUUGCUGAUAGGACUUUAAGGAGACCUUUUAGCCUGCUAGAGGAUGUGCCAGUGAUGAUUAAUGGAGUAGAGGUGCCUACUGAUUUUGUUGUGCUUGAGAUGGAUGAAGAAUCUAAGGAUCCUCUGAUCUUGGGACGACCUUUCUUGGCCUCAGUGGGAGCAGUAAUAGAUGUCAGAUAUGGUAAGAUUGAUCUCAACCUUGGGAAGCACAUCAGAUUGCAGUUUGACAUCAACAAAACUCCAACAAGGGCAACAACAGAGAGAAAGACCUUGGAGAUUCAGAGAGCAGUUCUAGGAGAAGGAUUUGAGGCCGCAAAAGUGAAGGAACCAUUUCUAGUCCAAACUCAAAAAGAAGUCUGAUCUCCAAGAAAGAACCAUACAGGAGCUAGCCUACACCGUCAAAGAGCUUAGAAACAUAUUGAGUCGGGUUCAAAGGGAAGUUCAACCUCAGCCCAACGUUCACAUUGCUUCAAGAGAGGAUGCUGAGUAUGAUGAUAAGCUCGGUGAAGAAGAAGACUUCUUAAGUCUUCUCUGUCACACUUUCCCUGCGUAAUAAGUGUGAGGAGUCAAGCUAGAGACUUUAAACAAGCUCACUUGGGAGGAAGUCCCAUGAUUAUCUCUGUAAAUAAUUUUUCCUUUCUUGUUAUUUUUGAUUUGUUUUGGUUGUGUUUGUGGUUCUCAGGAAUAGAGAAACAAUCUGGAGAUAGAGUAAAAAUUCAAAAAUUUUACUCUACCAAGGAUAUGGGGAUCGAGUAUAUCAGCCCAGUGGAGUCCAAAAAUUUGAAACAUUUUUGUUGCACCCGGAGACUCCGCCAUCGAGUAGGAGGGUCGAGUAUGUGUGUUUUUGCUCACAAAAAUUCUAAUUCAUCACCACAUACUCGAUCACAAGGAGAACUAGACGAUGAGAGUGUGCAACAGAGCACCCUACCAACAUGGAGAUCGAGUAUAAUGGUCAGUAUGGUGCAAUUUGAUUAUUUUGGAGCUGAAAUUUAGAAGGAGGAUCAAGAGUUAAACAAGCUCGGAGGUACAGUAAUCAACUCUAAUGAGUUGCGAUUUUGCUAAUGGUGGUUAAGGAGAUUCUCCACUUGAGUCAAUGGAGGCAUCCCAUCAUGUCUCCUACAUCCCAUCAUGUCUCCCACCAAGCUAAAGCCACCAACUUACCCACCUCUUUCCCACAUGUUUCUAAUGAGUGCUCCACUCCCCUCCACAUGAUUUCAAGCCUAAAGUCUCAUUCAUUCUCCUCCACAUCUUCAAGGGCACACCACUCACACCAUUCCCCUAUAAAUCCAACACUUCCAAGGAGAACUAACCACACCAACUCAUCUCUCUCUCACUACAAAGCUCUACCACUCUUAGCUCACUUCUCUCUCUAAAAUCGCCAACAUCAACCUCGCAGCCUUCAUCACCACCACUCCUUUACUCGACCACCAGCCUUCAUCACGUCCGUUUCCCAUCACUUUACUCGAUCACCAAGAUCCAUUUUCCACUUCUGAGCCAAGCCGAGUCGCCAUUCCCCAUCCUUACUCGAUCACCAAGGUAGCUCAACCGUCCGCCUUUCACUCACCUUUACUCGAUCACAAGCUCUCUCCCACUGCCAUUCACUCACCUCGUUUACUCGACCACGCUCUUCCAUAACCGCUUCCAUCAGCUACAUCUAAGGUUUACUCAAUCUUUUGUCUUACCCAAGACUUUAACUCUUUCUUCCAUCUUGUUUUUGGAUCGUUUGAACUCACUAACCUACUAAUUUGUAGUUUUGAGUUUGAUUCGUUCAGUUCGAAAAAUGAGUUCAUUCAAUAACCUACGCUUCUAGCCAAGAUCACGAUUACAACGUUAAUGAGAACGAGUCAUGGUCUACAUCUCUUCCAGAAAGAGAAGGUCAUGAGUACUCUUGGCUCAGAGACGACAUCGAAAGAGGCAAGAAAACCAUGGAGGAGAUAUCCAGUUCGUUGAAGGACGUUGCAACGAAGCCUUGGAAGACAGACAAGAAAAAAAUCUCAAUGGAAGAGUACUGUGAGCUCUUCAGGCGGCAUAACUUCGUCGGGACUAGGUACCCGCAUCCAGGGACGAUGGUGGAGCUCGGUAUCUAUGACGAUAUCGAGUAUCUUUGUGAGCAAACUAGUCUAUUCACCCUCAUGAACUGUCCCUACAACGCUUACAAGGAGGAAACAAUCCAGUUUCUCUCCUCCUUCCAAGUUGAGAUCUUUUCUAAGAAGAAGAAGAAGAGAGAAAGAGUGUACGGGCUCGGCUACUUGACCUUCACCAUCCAUGGCCAAGAGUACAUCUUCCCCCUGAAGCAGCUGGAAUCUCUCUUCGAGUUUAAGAGCGGAGUAGGCACUGGCCACCGUGUUGACAGAAAAGAGUUAAUUGGACUUAGGGAGACAAUUGGAGAUGACGUCAAGUUCUUCUCUUCCCGCUCCAAGAGCAACACCAUCAGGAGCCCAGUCUUCCGCUACUUCCACCGCAGCCUCGCCAGUGUCCUCUUUGCAAGGGAAAUAACUGGUACGAUCGUCAACGGGGAGAUGGAAGUGAUGGUGAUGGCACUGCAGGAAACCCUGGGCGAAACCAAAAAUAAUACCGUGUUGGUAGGUGACAAGUCAAACUCUUCUACUGUUUUCUUCUUACUCGGCCACCUAUGGAGCUACAGAUCAUGGGCGGUGACGAAUGCCAAGAAAACUGCUAAAGGAAAAUUGUGUAUGGGUGGGCUGAUAACACCUAUAUUGUUAGCAUGUGGAGUGCCUUUAGAGUCAGAAGAGGUCCUUCCUAAGUGGGUCGACAUCGAAUACUUGAGGAAGACCACGUCAUUGGAUUGGGAGAUGCUGGAUGGAAGGUAUGCCUGGAUAUUUGAUCUUCCAGAAGCAGAAGGGGCGAGAUUUCUCCUCCCUCACCAGGCAUUCACCACGAUCAUGGACAUAAGCAAUAUUGAUUUCAAACCACCUGUUCAGAUGCUCUAUGGCGUGAACAAAGUUGUUCAACCUGCUGAAGAAGAAGGAACCAAUGCUGGAGAAAACGAAGCCGCUGAAGAAGAAGAGGACCUGGAUAUAGAGGAAUAUAACACCAGGAGGUUCCAUUUUGCUGAACACAUAUCGCCAUCAAGACAGAGCAAGAGCCUCAAUGAGAGUCAUGAGAAGAUCAGCAAGUUCCAAGACAAGUUCAUUGGUAAGUGCUUCAAGAUGUACAAAUCCAUGUAGAAGAAGUUGAAUCGCUCCUCUACUAGCACUACUGCACCAAGAGUAGACCCUCCUGAAGAGAUACCCUCCAGACGUUAUGAUUCAGAUGCACCAAGGGACUCAACCUAUGAACCGGUUCAAGACGUCUACGAAGUGCCCAGGCAAUCCGCCUAUGAAAAAAGGGAAGCAGACACUUCCUAGGCACCAGCAAGACAUUCCUCUCACGAACCUAGAGAGCAUAGGAGAAGAAGGAAACAAGCACCGGUUCACUCAGGUAGCAAGGCGAGGCUCCUCAACGCCAGGCGACCACUCAUCCGCCGCACUGACCGCCAAGCCGACCCUGCGAUCGAGUACCCUGCACCAGAGGAGGGUCGAGUAUGUGUGUUUUUACUAACAAAAAUUCUAAUUCAUCACCACAUACUCGAUCACAAGGAGAUCAAGCACCCAGCAUCCCAUGGGAAUACACCAGAGAGGAGAUGGACGACUACAUCUCCAGGACCUUCAACUGAGGUACCACACCCAACCAUCAUUGUAAAUACCAUUUUCUGCUUUUGUUUUUAUAGUGUCUCUCUUGAAAUCUCCUUCAGAUUUUUACUACACAAGGGACUAUGUAGUUUAAGUUUGGGGGAGAAUUCAAGACGUAUUUAACAUGUUUUCUUUGAGUCUUGUUUUCAAAUUUUGCAUUUCACACUUGAGUCUGCAUUCAUCUAAAGCAUAGAAAAAACCAAAAAAUUUGAAAAUUUUCUGAAAAUUUUAUUCCACAAAAACAGAGUGUUCAUCCAGUUGCAUCACAUUUAGGAUCGAGUCUAGUAUGUUUCAUAUAGGAUUGUUGCAUAUGCAUAGGGGAUUAUGAUGAAAUAGCCUUGUAAGCAUGUUGGUUCAGUAGAUAGACUCAGUGCCCUCGUUGCUAGUUGUCUGAUGCGCAGUCAAUGAAAUUGAAGUAAAACUGCACCAUGUCUUGAAUGCUCUACUCGAUCACACUGUCAUGAUUUGAUACCAUUCCCUAUCAAUUUGAACCUGAAUCUGAUUUACAAUUAUCAUGUCUUAGCAUCAAAUUUGAACUCAUGGAUACCAUAUACAUACUUGGGUUUUCUUUCAACUUUUCACCAUCCUUGCUAACCCAAGUAGCUGCUUCCAUCAUAGGAGCAGUUUCCCUAGACCUUAACCAAACCUCUCUUUUAAAAGCCCUGUAAUAUCUCGUGUGUGAUUGUGAGUCCUGUUUCAGGAUUGAGCUUGGUAGAAAGUGUUAGGUUUGAAUCGACAAGAAUAGCGUCUCAUGUAGUUCUAGUCCAUGCCAUCUGGACUAGAUAGGACUAGGUGGGAGUCUAUUUUUGGGUGGGGAUCGAGUAUAUGAGUAAAAGAAGGUAAAGGUUGAUGUUUUUAGGAGAAGGAAGUUGAGAAACAAGUUAGUCUAGUAGUGGGUUUUGAGGAACUAAAAUUCGAAUAGAUAGGCUCUGUAACAAAAGAAAGCAAAAGUCUAGAAAAGUCUUUAUUCAUAAGAAGAUAACAAGAGCCAUAGUUGUCAAAGAAAACCAAAACCCACUAGAUCCAUCAAGUAAAAAAAAACUUCUCCUUAGAACAGAGUCAGAGAAAAAGAAAGAGUGAUUUGAUCAAAGAUAAAAAUGAGAAAAAAUGCCUUGAGUGCAAAGGGUAGAACUAGGAUCAUCUUCUGGGCUUGAGGGUAGUACCAUCUGCUGGUGUAAACACGGUUUAUGAUAUUGGGUAGAUGAGAUACUGUUCUUGUAUGCAUAAGUUGGGUCUUACCUUUAGCAUUCUCCUAAAGCUCAGUCCAAUUCUUUUGAGAGUCCCCUGUUACUAAACUUGAACCACCUUAAAGGGACUGUCUUUGUCUCCUAACCUUCACCUUAAGCCAAAUGAGUUCAUUGAUGGUGCGUUGCUUGAUUCACGUUCUGAUACUAAUGAAUGUUAAAGGGAUUUGUCGAUUUGAAAGCAUGUGUAGAUCGAGUAUAAGAGUCGGAUUGAACUAUAACAAGGCAUGGCUAACGUUUUUGAGUAGAGAUCGAUCAUAUCGCAUCCUAGAACUACCAACUUGGACCUUGAUUUUAUCUAUUUUAUCUGAUGCUUUGGUUCUGAAUCCCCACCUUCAAACCUCUCCUUCAUCUUAUGUUUACUUGUUUGCUUGAGGGCAAGCAAAGACUAAGUUUGGGGGAGUUGAUAUGUCUAUAAUUUGCAUGUUUUACACAUCCAUUUAUCACCAUUUUGAGUCUAGUUUCGUUCAUCUUUUAUAGCAUUCAUCAUCAUUUCGCAUAAUUUGCAUGUUUAAGUGUGUCUAGCAUUAGUCUUGCAUGCAUUUUGCAUUCUGGAGUUGUUUCAGGUGUUUCGGAGCUAUUGGUGUUCAGAAAGAAGAAAAACAGAGCUGAAAGUCACAUUUGGACCCUUAUACUCGAUCACCAGUAGCAGAGAGGGAAGCAGUCAGCUCAGCAGACCAUCAGAACCCUUAUACUCGAUCACAGGGCAGUCCAGCCAGACAGUUCUACUCGAUCGCAGAGGAAGAGGAGCAGUCCAUCUUGCCAGUUCACUGUUAUACUCAAUCGCAAGGUUGAAGAAGCAGUCCGUCCUGACAGUCUACCCACAUACUCGUUCACAAGAGAGAAGAAGCAUUCCAGACCACGCCACCACCCAUUCUACUCGAUCACCACCUCGACCCUUUGAUCAAUCCGCACUCAACCAGACAACCUGAGCAUAGGAAAGAGAAAAGGAGAGAAGGAACCACUUGAUUGCGGCUUCGAUUCACGCUCGACCAUGAAGCCCACUUUGAGCCCAUCUACUCGACCACAACGUUCCAUGGGCCUGUUAAGCGGACUCGAAGCCCACUUACUUAAUUUUUUCGUUUUUACUAUAAAUAAGUCUCUAAGGGUUUUCCCUGAGACAUGGACUUUAUAUUUUCUUUUCAAUUACGUUUUAGACUCGCAACCUAGUUUCGUUCAGUAGCCGCUUUUGCUUCUGAAACUCUGUAUUUUCGUUUCUUCUAAGUUAUUGAGAUUUUGCUUUCGUUUCCUUGUUCAUUUCUAUUUUAUUUCCUUUAAUCUUAGAAGUUAUGCAAUCAUCAAUUGUUUCUGUGUCUUUGAGCAUGUUGUCUGAGUAGUGACUAGGAUUUCUGAGGAUGGGAUAGAGUAGUUGUGAGACCCAUGGUCGAUUCUGAUGGUUAAGUGUAGUUUUAUUGAAUCCCUUCUGGAUUAGUUGUGUUUACUGCUUAUUCCUUUCCGAUCAACUGGAAUUCGAUCCAAAGCAUUCCCGUACCCAGAAGGUGUUCGAUGGAAUGCUUGAUCUACUAAUUCCAGUAAUAAUCGUCUCUAUCCCAAGAGAUUGGCCGUUUAGAGCGGUUAUUGACUUUAACAGUAGGUUCUUAUUGCCUGCAUAGUUAGAUUCCGUUAAUGGGAAUUAGUCUGGGCUAGCUUUGCUUGAGGAUUUGUUGCACGGGAGUGAAUAAGUCUGUUGUUGAACCUGUUGUCUAGGGAUAGCUUCAUUGAGAAUUGUUAACCAUCUGAAUUGAUUAUGGAGUCCACACUAUUUGAUUACCCCAUCCUUAGGAGUUUCUUAUCCAAUUGAUUUAUCUGUCUACUUACUUGCUUCUGCUUUGUUACCUGCUGUUUAAGUUUUU